RNAcentral lists this ribosomal RNA (445 nucleotides) under uncultured bacterium. RNAcentral's name for it is "partial 16S ribosomal RNA". It matches the Rfam family "Bacterial small subunit ribosomal RNA", at positions 354 to 796 of the family's 1533-position model. The record is from RNAcentral.
GUGGGGAAUCUUGCGCAAUGGAGGCAACUCUGACGCAGCCAUGCCGCGUGCAGGAAGAAGGCGCUACGCGUUGUAAACUGCUUUUAACCGGGAAGAAACCCCAGGACGUGUCCUGGGUUGACGGUACCGGAGGAAUAAGCACCGGCUAACUUCGUGCCAGCAGCCGCGGUAAUACGAAGGGUGCAAGCGUUAUCCGGAUUCAUUGGGUUUAAAGGGUGCGUAGGCGGAGCGUUAAGUCAGUGGUGAAAUCCUGCAGCUUAACUGUAGACUUGCCAUUGAUACUGGCGCUCUUGAGUGCGCUUGAAGUGGGCGGAAUGUGCCGUGUAGCGGUGAAAUGCUUAGAUAUGGCACAGAACACCAAUUGCGAAGGCAGCUCACUAAGGCGAUACUGACGCUGAGGCACGAAAGCGUGGGGAUCGAACAGGAUUAGAAACCCGAGUAGUCC